RNAcentral lists this long non-coding RNA (244 nucleotides) under Manihot esculenta (cassava). RNAcentral describes it as "long non-coding RNA (MESC_LNC002911)". Lineage: Eukaryota; Viridiplantae; Streptophyta; Magnoliopsida; Malpighiales; Euphorbiaceae. The record is from RNAcentral.
UUAUGACAUGAUGAUAUGAUAUGGAAGUCCAGAUGUGGUCUGCACUGCGCCCCUGGCACUAUGUAAGAGAAAGACCGGAUGUGGCCUGUACUACGCCCCCGGCAUCAUGGAUUAUGUAUGUUAUGUUAUGUUAUGUAUAAGAGAAAGACCAGGUGUGGCCUGCACUACGCCCCUGGCAUGAUUGGAUUAUGUAGAGGGCUAAAUGGUGACAAGUUCAUCCUUGAUAUGAUUAGUUGUGAUGUGA